GACCCUAUCGUCUAGCUGGCCAAGGACAUUAGGACUUCAUCCUAAGAACGAUAGUUCAAAUCUAUCUGGGGUCGCCA
RNAcentral lists this transfer RNA (77 nucleotides) under Campylobacteraceae bacterium. Its description in RNAcentral is "tRNA-Glu". It matches the Rfam family "tRNA". From Rfam's summary of the family: Transfer RNA (tRNA) molecules are approximately 80 nucleotides in length. Their secondary structure includes four short double-helical elements and three loops (D, anti-codon, and T loops). The record is from RNAcentral. Lineage: Bacteria; Pseudomonadati; Campylobacterota; Epsilonproteobacteria; Campylobacterales; Campylobacteraceae.